Hippocampus comes (tiger tail seahorse) is the source of this 890-nucleotide long non-coding RNA. RefSeq lists it as uncharacterized. The transcript has 3 exons. The record is from RefSeq and is a predicted model, not a curated record. NCBI's taxonomy places the organism in Eukaryota, Metazoa, Chordata, Actinopteri, Syngnathiformes, Syngnathidae.
AAAAAAAACUGAACAUUAACCCAAUGGAUCGCUAGAGGGCACCAAGUACUCUUGUCUGGAAUAAUUCCGAUAGUCCGGAAAGGCAUCAUUUUAAAAUGAAUGAAACCGCGCCCCCUCUGCUUGGUCAUUACUCGAGCGACGACAAACAGCGAGAUCGAUUACAAAACGUCAUUUUUCAGCGACAGCUAAACAAAUCAACGCCGUUGUUUUGGUAUUUUUAUGCACUUGACGGGAAUUUUGUAAAUGUAAGAUUUCUGUUUCUGCAGUUUCAAAAUUAAUGUCUUCCGAAGAAUGUUCGAUGUUGCUGAUUCGAGAAUGUAUGGAAAUUGAAGACAAAGCUGGGAGAAAAAAAGGCGAUGUUGUCUUGAUUAUUUCUAUGUGUUGCUUUGUUCGUUAUUUCUUUUUUUGAAAACUGUAUAAUUGUGCUUUAGUUUUUCACGAGUUGCCGUUUUAUUGUCUCCUCUUAUUUUUAAGCAUGUUGGAAAUAAAUUGGACCAAAAAUACCCAGAAGUGAAAGCUCCACCUGAACCGGAAACGAGGGAAUGCUUGGGCUCACUGGCGCGAUUGCUUAAACGUUGUCUGGUGUGUUUGAAAAGCAUGAGUUCGCAGUUAGUUAAUUCGCUCGAGCACGAAAUGUGUCCUUGUUCAUUGUUGACACGCACGUAGGGGACCACAAUGAAAGAACGUCGUCUCGGCGCUGGCUGCUGUCCAUCCAAAUCAGCUGCGGACAUUUUGUCACAGGAACGGAGUUUUGGAUCAGCAGAUGGAAGUUUCAUUUGGACGUGUUGAGAUCACAGGCAAGCUGAUCAAACUGCCCCAAUGCCAUCACUGUUUGGGCGACAAAGUCAUCCCAGCUUUUCUCCUCAAUAAAUUGUCCAAGUUGAAGUGCA